RNAcentral lists this ribosomal RNA (253 nucleotides) under uncultured bacterium. Its description in RNAcentral is "partial 16S ribosomal RNA". It matches the Rfam family "Bacterial small subunit ribosomal RNA", at positions 524 to 776 of the family's 1533-position model. The record is from RNAcentral.
UACAGAGGUCUCAAGCGUUGUUCGGAUUCAUUGGGCGUAAAGGGUGCGUAGGCGGCGCGGUAAGUCGGGUGUGAAAUCUCGGGGCUUAACUCCGAAACUGCAUUCGAUACUGCCGUGAUUGAGGACUGGAGAGGAGACUGGAAUUUACGGUGUAGCGGUGAAAUGCGUAGAUAUCGUAAGGAAGACUAGUGGCGAAGGCGGGUCUCUGGACAGUUCCUGACGCUGAGGCACGAAGGCCAGGGGAGCAAACGGG